AGGGUGUAAACGCUGCAGACUUGGUGUUGGAAGCCCUUUGGGGGCAUUCAGUGCCGGAGAGAAGUUGUUAAGUCUGCUACUUGGGGAGUACGUCCGCAAGGAUGAAACUUAAAGGAAUUGGCGGGGGAGCACCGCAACGGGAGGAGCGUGCGGUUUAAUUGGAUUCAACACCGUAAACUCACCAGGGAAGACUGUUACAUGAAAGCCGAGAUGAAGACUCUGCUAGAUUUUCAGAGAGGAGGUGCAUGGCGUCAGUGACU
Molecule: ribosomal RNA, 260 nt
Filed under: uncultured archaeon
Lineage: Archaea
Description: partial 16S ribosomal RNA
Rfam family: Archaeal small subunit ribosomal RNA
Source: RNAcentral